GGUUGUGGCUCAGCGGUAGAGUGCUCACCUAGUGGUGUGAAGCCCUGGGUUCAAUCCUCAGCACCA
This 66-nucleotide transfer RNA is filed under the name Marmota monax (woodchuck). Its description in RNAcentral is "tRNA.Undet". The record is from RNAcentral. Lineage: Eukaryota; Metazoa; Chordata; Mammalia; Rodentia; Sciuridae.